Onychomys torridus (southern grasshopper mouse) is the source of this 284-nucleotide long non-coding RNA. RefSeq lists it as uncharacterized. Lineage: Eukaryota; Metazoa; Chordata; Mammalia; Rodentia; Cricetidae. The transcript has 3 exons. The record is from RefSeq and is a predicted model, not a curated record.
GCCAGGAAGAUUUCUAAAGAAAUGCAAAUGCUAUUCAGAAUUCCCAACACACGCAGAGAACUUGCAACAGAUCUCAGAUGAUUGACGCAGAAUGUUCCAGAGGAUAAGAAAAAUCCACAGCUAAGGCUACUUUCUUUCCCCCUACAGCCAUUGAAAAAAACAGAUAUUGAGAUUGAAGCCACUGGAUUCACCGUGUUCUGUUGUCAAAGAAUAAAAAACUCAUCACUUUACUUAUCAAGAACGGGACAUUUGUUUUGAUUGCUAUUGUCAUGUGAUUAUGAUUA